RNAcentral lists this non-coding RNA (26 nucleotides) under Mus musculus (house mouse). Lineage: Eukaryota; Metazoa; Chordata; Mammalia; Rodentia; Muridae. The record is from RNAcentral.
UGACUGAACAAAUUUGAAAUGCACUA